Molecule: long non-coding RNA, 1409 nt
Organism: Micropterus dolomieu (smallmouth bass)
Lineage: Eukaryota; Metazoa; Chordata; Actinopteri; Centrarchiformes; Centrarchidae
Exons: 3
Source: RefSeq, a predicted model, not a curated record
GAGACAGCCCAUUCCUCUGUGAUGUCACGGCGUAGCGUUCCUUUAGCUGAGUCAGUGCCGCCAUCAGGCGACUGUUGGCGGCAUCAAGACUCGCAAUCCUCUUCUCCUGAGAGAAAGGAAGAGAGACAGACAGGAAGAGAGACAGACAGGAAGUCAGCUUAUUGAAAUAUCUCAUAGAACAGAACUAAAGUCUCAGACAGACAGACAGACAGACAGACAGGUACCUGUGCCUCUAUGAUCUUCUGUUUGGAGUCGACCACAGCCUGCAUGUCAGAGUGAUCCUUCUUCAGCUCCUCCUCCACUGCCAUCAACCUGCACAGGUCCCGGGCCUCCACCACCCACACCGUCAGCACGUUCUCCAGCCGCCGGCUGUUGUCCUUGUUGGGGUGCACGGCUCGCCGCAGGUUCUCCAUCCAUUUGUCUCGUUCUGCAGCCGAACGACACGAGAAGCACUUCGUUCCUGUGGAGGUCGUUACCUAGGAGACACAGGUCAGAGGUGGAGUCAGUCAGCUGAUCUCCAGCUGACAGCAGCCUUGUUACCAUGGAAACAGCAGACUAAUCCCAGCUGGGUGCGUUUGUGUGUGUGUGCGUGCGUGUCACCGUCACUCUGGCGGUGGGCGAGUCCACGGCGGAGCUACUGGGCAUGCUCUGUCGGCGAACCCCUCUCUCUGGAACAUCUGGAACAGACAGAGAGCAUCAUGGGAAGGUUUAGUAGUUUUUUCUUUUAAAGCAGCAGUCGGCCAUGUUGGCUCCACAGCUGUUGCCAUGGUAACUGGUGGGGUCAGCGUUGCCACGGGGACUAGCAACAGUUGAAACGUGUGAACACACACACACACUCAGACGGUGAAAGUUGAUGUUCUGAGAUUAGAGAUUUUCUCCCUCUGUAAAAACUUCUGCAGACAUUCACACCACGAUGCUCCAGGAGGACAUUAUAACAACUGGUCUAAUGGGGCGGGGCCUAAGCUUUACUCGUUACUGGUUACUAGUUGCUCUGUGUAUCAUCAGCUUUAGACGCAGCGCGAUGCAGACACGGACGUUUCUGAAUCGAUUAACUGAUGUCAAACAUCCAACAUAUAAAUGUUCAUUUAUAACGUAAUGUUCACGGAACGCAGACAACAGAGACCGGUGAUCUGUUACUGGUCUCAGACCAGUGUUCCCAGUACUCGACGCUCAUUAGCUGCGUGUCAUUACUACCUUGUUGUCCGGGGCCGUUAACGUCAGGUCCAGGCUACACUGGUGUCCCGGACAUCCUGAGAGCUAAAGUAUAUUUCAGUCUGACACCUGGCUGGUGAAGGAAGGAGGCUGGUGAGCAGGAGCAGCUGAGGCUGCUAAAGGAAGUUAGGGAUGUCAAAUUGAAAGAAAACUGAGAAACAAGAAAUUAAACUGAUCUGCAGUCAGUUACUACACAA